This 393-nucleotide ribosomal RNA is filed under the name uncultured bacterium. RNAcentral describes it as "partial 16S ribosomal RNA". It matches the Rfam family "Bacterial small subunit ribosomal RNA", at positions 523 to 918 of the family's 1533-position model. The record is from RNAcentral.
AUACGGAGGAUCCGAGCGUUAUCCGGAUUUAUUGGGUUUAAAGGGUGCGCAGGCGGGAGAUUAAGUCGGCGGUGAAAUUUUGCCGCUCCAAUGUAAAAAAGCCCUCGCAAAUGGUUUUCUUUAGUGUAGAUGGAGGAGGCGGAAUUUGUGGGGUAGCGGUGAAAUGCAUAGAUAUCACGAGGAACUCCGAUUGCGCAGGCAGCUUACUAAACUACUACUGACGCUCAGGCACGAAGGCGUGGGGAUCAAACAGGAUUAGAUACCCUGGUAGUCCACGCAGUAAACGAUGAUUACUAGCUGUUUGCGAUACAAUGUAAGCGGCUGAGCGAAAGCGUUAAGUAAUCCACCUGGGGAGUACGUUCGCAAGAAUGAAACUCAAAUGAAUUGGCGGGG